UCGAGUACAAUAAAGAACUAAAAUAGCUAGACAACAAAACUAGGAACCACCUCCUUCGCUGGCCCAAUCUCCCUUGGGCUGGCAUUUUC
This is a non-coding RNA of Yersinia ruckeri, 89 nucleotides long. NCBI's taxonomy places the organism in Bacteria, Pseudomonadati, Pseudomonadota, Gammaproteobacteria, Enterobacterales, Yersiniaceae. The record is from Rfam.